This 497-nucleotide ribosomal RNA is filed under the name uncultured bacterium. RNAcentral describes it as "partial 16S ribosomal RNA". It matches the Rfam family "Bacterial small subunit ribosomal RNA", at positions 28 to 507 of the family's 1533-position model. The record is from RNAcentral.
GAUGAACGCUGGCGGCGUGCCUAAUACAUGCAAGUCGAGCGAACAGACGAGGAGCUUGCUCCUCUGACGUUAGCGGCGGACGGGUGAGUAACACGUGGAUAACCUACCUAUAAGACUGGGAUAACUUCGGGAAACCGGAGCUAAUACCGGAGAAUAUAUUGAACCGCAUGGUUCAAUAGUGAAAGACGGUUUUGCUGGCACUUAUAGAUGGAUCCGCGCCGCAUUAGCGAGUUGGUAAGGGAACGGCUUACCAAGGCAACGAUGCGUAGCCGACCUGAGAGGGUGAUCGGCCACACUGGAACUGAGACACGGUCCAGACUCCUACGGGAGGCAGCAGUCGGGAAUCUUCCGCAAUGGGCGAAAGCUUGACGGAGCAACGCCGCGUGAGUGAUGAAGGUCUUCGGAUCGUAAAACUCUGUUAUUAGGGAAGAACAAAUGUGUAAGUAACUAUGCACGUCUUGACGGUACCUAAUCAGAAAGCCACGGCUAACUACGUG